RNAcentral lists this ribosomal RNA (253 nucleotides) under uncultured bacterium. RNAcentral's name for it is "partial 16S ribosomal RNA". It matches the Rfam family "Bacterial small subunit ribosomal RNA", at positions 524 to 776 of the family's 1533-position model. The record is from RNAcentral.
UACGUAGGGUGCAAGCGUUAAUCGGAAUUACUGGGCGUAAAGCGUGCGCAGGCGGUUCUAUAAGACAGAUGUGAAAUCCCCGGGCUCAACCUGGGAACUGCAUUUGUGACUGUAGAGCUGGAGUGCGGCAGAGGGGGGUGGAAUUCCACGUGUAGCAGUGAAAUGCGUAGAGAUGUGGAGGAACACCAAUGGCGAAGGCAGCCCCCUGGGUCGAUACUGACGCUCAUGCACGAAAGCGUGGGUAGCAAACAGG